GUGGGGAAUUUUGGACAAUGGGCGCAAGCCUGAUCCAGCAAUGCCGCGUGCAGGAAGAAGGCCUUCGGGUUGUAAACUGCUUUUGUACGGAACGAAACGGUCCUGGUUAAUACCUGGGGCUAAUGACGGUACCGUAAGAAUAAGCACCGGCUAACUACGUGCCAGCAGCCGCGGUAAUACGUAGGGUGCGAGCGUUAAUCGGAAUUACUGGGCGUAAAGCGUGCGCAGGCGGUGCUGUAAGACAGGCGUGAAAUCCCCGGGCUCAACCUGGGAAUUGCGCUUGUGACUGCAGUGCUGGAGUACGGCAGAGGGGGAUGGAAUUCCGCGUGUAGCAGUGAAAUGCGUAGAUAAGCGGAGGAACACCGAUGGCGAAGGCAAUCCCCUGGGCCUGCACUGACGCUCAUGCACGAAAGCGUGGGGAGCAAACAGGAUUAGAUACCCGUGUAGUCC
Molecule: ribosomal RNA, 450 nt
Filed under: uncultured bacterium
Lineage: Bacteria
Description: partial 16S ribosomal RNA
Rfam family: Bacterial small subunit ribosomal RNA
Source: RNAcentral